AUAUCAAUAAGCGGAGGAAAAGAAACCAACAGGGAUUGCCCCAGUAACGGCGAGUGAAGCGGCAACAGCUCAAAUUUGAAAUCUGGCCCCCCCCGGGGGCCCGAGUUGUAAUUUGCAGAGGAUGCUUUUGGCGAGGCGCCUUCCGAGUUCCCUGGAACGGGACGCCGCAGAGGGUGAGAGCCCCGUCUGGUCGGACGCCAAGCCAGUGUAAAGCUCCUUCGACGAGUCGAGUAGUUUGGGAAUGCUGCUCUAAAUGGGAGGUAUAUGUCUUCUAAAGCUAAAUAUUGGCCAGAGACCGAUAGCGCACAAGUAGAGUGAUCGAAAGAUGAAAAGCACUUUGAAAAGAGGGUUAAACAGUACGUGAAAUUGUUGAAAGGGAAGCGCUCGUGACCAGACUCGGGCCCGGCGGAUCAUCCGGCGUUCUCGCCGGUGCGCUCCGCCGGGCCCGGGCCAGCAUCAGCUCGCCGCGGGGGACAAAGGCUUCGGGAACGUGGCUCCCACGGGAGUGUUAUAGCCCGCUGCGCAAUGCCCCGGGGCGGGCUGAGGUUCGCGCUCCGCAAGGAUGCUGGCGUAAUGGUCACCAGCGACCCGUCUUGAAACACGGACC
RNAcentral lists this ribosomal RNA (607 nucleotides) under Purpureocillium atypicola. Its description in RNAcentral is "eukaryotic LSU rRNA". It matches the Rfam family "Eukaryotic large subunit ribosomal RNA", at positions 40 to 667 of the family's 3401-position model. Lineage: Eukaryota; Fungi; Ascomycota; Sordariomycetes; Hypocreales; Ophiocordycipitaceae. The record is from RNAcentral.